AUCUUUUUGUAGUUCAUAUGCCUGAUGAUGGAGUUCAUGCUGUUGUGUGAGAUGUGCCCCCCUCAAAGCUUGUUAUGACAUCGGCCCAUUACCCGUCUGCCA
Small nucleolar RNA from Rhinolophus ferrumequinum (greater horseshoe bat), 102 nucleotides. The record is from Ensembl. NCBI's taxonomy places the organism in Eukaryota, Metazoa, Chordata, Mammalia, Chiroptera, Rhinolophidae.